Molecule: non-coding RNA, 30 nt
Filed under: Rattus norvegicus (Norway rat)
Lineage: Eukaryota; Metazoa; Chordata; Mammalia; Rodentia; Muridae
Source: RNAcentral
UGCAUUUCUUCAUGUGUGUAUGUGCAUUGG